RNAcentral lists this long non-coding RNA (24318 nucleotides) under Coffea arabica (coffee). RNAcentral's name for it is "long non-coding RNA (CARA_LNC002140)". The record is from RNAcentral. Lineage: Eukaryota; Viridiplantae; Streptophyta; Magnoliopsida; Gentianales; Rubiaceae.
CUGCAGAUUGUCUGCACCAGUGCACUUCAAUCAAUUCCAGUGUGCCUAUGUCUGCAAAAUCAUUCGGGAUUUCCUCGAGGUCUUUGCAAUUUUGCAAGACAAGCCGUUCAAGUUUGGGAAGGUGAUCACAAGUAGCAUUCCAUCGACAAAUGUUCAGAUCGUCUAACUUCAAGAAUUUAAGUUCCUUGAACUGUUCUUCCUCCAUUUCCCAUAUCAGCCCCUCAAAGGCACCAAGACGUAACUUGAGGACUUCCAGGUUGGGUAGUCUCCCAAUUGUUGAGAUGUGGCUCCAUGGUAGGUGAAAGUUUGAAAGAGUCAAUUCCCUCAGAUUUGGUGGGAGAACGAAUUCACUUGUGAUGGCUCUCCCAAAGUAAAAUACAUUGAGCGACACCAAAUGAGCAAGAGAAUCCAGUUUUGGAAACUGUCCACAAUUCUUGGAAGAAUCCCGUGGGUGAAAGAAUAUGCAUUUCAGUUUACGAAGAUUUGGCAACCUCUUCACUAUGUUCUCUGUAUCUUCAGCACAAGAAAGAGAGAGACGGGAAAAGCUAACCAAAUUUCCCAACUCACAGCAGCCGCCAAACUCUUUAUCACCCAACUUGAAAACAACAUGCAUGUUCACAUGGAGAUGCCUCAACCUUGCCAUGCUCCACAUAUUGUCUGGUAAGACAACCUGGCCACGUAACCCCUUCACAACAAAAGUUUCCAAUUUUCGGAGAUUGGCUAUGGAUUGUGGAAUAGAACGCAUAUACCCACUAACCGCCAAAUACCUCAAAUGAACCAAUAGUCCUAUUUUAACAGGAAAGGUAAUACCAAUGUUGAUCAUUUCAAAAUCCAACGUGCGCAGAAGUUUGAAGUUGCGACAAAUGAAUGAGAUGUCGUAAGGACAUCUAGGCUCUGAAUCAGUUGAGGGAAAGAAUAUUAUAGAACGGGUGCCCAGCCCGGAAGGUACUGAUUCAAAAAAAUGAACUCGCUUCAAAAAUAUGCACAACCGAUAGGAUUCAUAUGUUACGCGAUCAGAAUAAUGGCCAAAAUCGAAUUCAAAACCAAAAUCUGAGCUGGGAAAAGAAGCAUAUGGCUCAUCAGACCUGGUUAUUAACUUGAAAAAGUUCUCUUCUUUGGCUUUUAAAUGACAAAAAUCACGUAACAGAUCAUGCAAGCGGCAAGUUUUCACCUCUCCAUUGGAUUUUUUUUUGGAGAUUUCCACCAGGCUUCUGCUAAUCAACUCCAUCAAGUAACCUUCAGCAAUACAUUCCAAGCUCUUCAACUCAGAGUCAUGGAUGAAUCCUUCAGCAAGCCAAAGCCGUAUCAACUUGCUAAUUGGAAUAUCCUUGUCUUCAAGGAAAACUCCCAAAUAAAGAAAGCACGGUUUUAGAUAUCUUGGUAAGUGUUUGUAACUCAAUUCUAAGAUUUCCAUGCACCGAGCUUUUGGAUCUUCCAUAACUUCAGCAAUCAAGCUUUUUGCAAUUUUGCCCCACGAUUCUGAGCUCUUUUCUAUCCUUUGGAGGAGACCAGAUAUUGCAACAACAGCAAGAGGCAAUCCUUUACACUUUUUGGCAAUUUCCUUACCAACUAGCGACAAUUCUUCAGGACAGCCUUCACCAUGGAAUACUUUCCCUACUAACAAGUUCCAACUUUCAUCUUCAGAAAGUAAGCGUAGAGAAUGAGGAUCACUAUCUGGUUCAAUUUGUAAGGCCACAUCACGAAGGCGACUCGUAAUCAAAAUUCUGGUUCCAUUAGCGUCCUCUGGGAGUGAAUUUCUUAACUCAUUCCAAACUCCAGCAUCCCACACGUCAUCCAUAACAAUGAGAAACCUGUUUCUUAGUAAGCACUGAUGCAAUUUUAAUUGGAGAUCUUCGUUAGUCAUUAGACGAAUUUCAUCCGUAAGCCCGAGAAUGCCACGUAAAAUCUCCAGCAACAGUUCUCUUUUCUCAUAUACUUGUGAAACAGUACACCAUGCACGACAAUGAAAGUGAUCCAUAACAUAUGGAUGGUUAAACACUUUCCAAGCCAGAGUUGUCUUGCCAAUACCAGGCAUUCCAAUAAUGGAAACAAUGCCACGCCGUAGGGAUCCUUUGAUGAGUUGAUCAAUCACAUAUUGUUCUUCAUCUAUGAGGUCGACCACCAUUUCAUUGAUUGCUGCCCGUGAUAUCAUGUUGGGUGGAACCUGGAUGAUGUGUUUGCUACUUAGGACUCUGGCAUCUGAGGUUGUCAACUGAAUACUAGAGGCUUGCUUAUUAACAAUCCUUAACUCCUCUAGCAGAUCAUAAACCAAAAAGAUGUGCUGCCAUUGAGCAUCACUCUCAAUUGAGUCAAUAACAUACUCAAUUUUAUAAGCUAUAUUGGCAGCACGAACACCAAGGACCUUCACUUCUGGAUUGCCAUCAAUAUCCGACUCCGAAACUUUCAUGAGAAAGGAACCCAAUGAGUCGAAAUGUACAUGAAUCUCUUUUAUGUAAUUCCUGACUUGUUCAAUUGAUGCAGGAUCAUAUUUCAGCAGCUCCUUUAGGUUUCUGACGAGGAAAUCCAUGAACCCUGGCAUGCAAGUCUUGGGAAUAUCAGAAAAUGGAAAUUGGGGACUUAGCUCUCUAAGCUCAGUCCUGAUAUGAUUCUGCUUGUCUAGCAGCUGUGAAGAUGGCGUGAUCAUAUUGAUGAUGGGUCCUGUCAUCCCUGCAUCAAAAGUUUCAGUUUGUGGGAAGAUCACGUCCAUGUCCUGUGUCUCCUUCUUUAGCUGGUUGCAGAGAAGUGUGAAAAGAUUAAGCCGCGCGAGUAGUGCAAUUUGAUCUUUUCGAUAAGCCAUGGAAUUUGCUGCCCUACUAUUCUCAAGUGAUAACUUCUUAAAUAAUGCUUCUGCUUUGAAAGCAACAAUGUUAAGAAGCAAUAGGAGAAUUGAGUUCCUCACCGUGGGUUCUGUUAUCUUCUUGGCCUCAAAUAACUGAUGGAGAGAUGCUACCUUGUGGUCCAUUUGUUGAAUGAGAGCCGCAGUCUUAUUCCCAUAUUCUGCCUCAUAUUCUGCCUUUCCAUGCGGAUGUUUUUCCAAACAUUUUAUCAAUUCUUUUGUCAUCCAAUAAACAUCAUCUUUAGCACGAUUGAGUAGAUCUUUAAUUUGGAAAGUGAUCCCUUGAAUGUUACGGUGAAGCAUCCCCUUGAGGAAAAGCUCCGUCUGGAGAAGACCAACAUUUAUUCGCAGCUCGGAAAGUCUAGGCUCAACAUUUUGCCGCCUCAGUUUGAGAGAUCCCGUCUCCAUGAGCACCGUAUGAAAUUCUGCAAAGAAAAUUGGCAUCGUCUGAUCGUCCUCCUUCUCCUCCAGUUUGGUGAAGACUAAAAGCUUUAACAGCUCAUGGAUCACUAGAUAAUAGUUGCCUCCAAGAUCUCCGACCCUCACUCUAGGGGCAACGUAAUUGCAAUAACGAAAGCAAAAAUCGGGCUUAACUCCAAUUUUAUGGAGAGAUACAAGGAAAUGGAGAUGGAACUCCAUGAAUCUGGGAUUAGUAGGAUCGAUCUCAUGUUGCAAAUCCACUAGAGGUUUCAUUAGCUUAAUCCUUUCUUCCUCUUUGAUUCGGUCGUUCGUUUUUCUGCAGUAAAUCUGGUACUUAAAAGCGUGGAUUGCAAUGCGUACCACCACAGAUGCAACACGAGUCACGAAAUCAUUGAUAAUAUUUACAUCAUCACCACUUGCUCCUGCUGCUGCUGCUGCUGGGAAGUCGAGAUCCCUGAAUACAUCUUCCAUGUAAUUCCGGAUCAAGCGUAGCUCUGCCACCAGGGCAUCGACUGGCUCGCCCCACCGCAUACUCGCCACAAUCCCGGCUAGAGUGGCUAAAAAUUUUAACCAAAAAGAAACAUCAGAUGGUGAUUGCAGUUGGCACGACGACCUCCCGGAUAAAACCAAAAGGUGUUCAACUGCUUCUCCGAUCUCUUCGAUCACAUUGCAGGCUUUCUUGUAAUAAUCUUGGAGAAUUUCGUCGUCCACCAGGGAGUGGGACAGCUUCAUCUUGUUGUUGUCGUUGUUGUCUGUAAGUAUCAGUUCCCGGUCAAUCUCCUGGGCUGCAGCUUCGAUCUUGAAUCCCAUAUUAAGCAGCACCCGCUCUGCAUGUUCAUCUCUCAUCAGCUUGUGAGUUGCUUCCCAAAUUAACCUCAAAAGCUUCCAAUCCGAGAUGCUUUCACGUACGAAUGCACCACCAAUCGGUAACUUAUGCAAGAAAAAAUCUAUGACAUCCCAGCCGGGAAUACCCAUCUCCAGCUCCAGAAUUUUGAUCUCUGACAGGUGCCGAACCUGUGCAAUAAUAAUAAAUAAAUCCUAACUACCACCUGAAACAGUCAGUAAUCAAUUCGAGUACUGGAGCAGGGACUCUAGGUGUGCAAUGGGUUACUUGAUUCACCCUGUUCCCGAAGAGUUUGCUUAAUCCGAUAUAGCUGAAUUAAUUAUUUAACUGGAUUCCCUAACUAGUAGACAGUGAUAAGCAGGGUCGUCUCCUCAGGGACUGGAGAGAUAUUUGUUUCUUUUCAAAUCAAGAUUAAUGGGGGGGUUUUGGUAUCAAAGGCCAACUAAACAAAAUAAAUGUAGAAAGUAAUUGAUUAAAAACAAUAAUUGGAGAAGCUCUAGCCAAGGGUACACUUUAGGAAUGGUUCACGCAACUGAUCAUCGAUUCACAGAUAAUUCCAACUUUUAUUAAUAGAUUGGUUAUAGCUGUCUCGCACGCGCUAAACAACCAACCCUUCCUUAAUUUCUCGAUAGCCAAGGUACGACCGUUAGCUAUUUCUCUAACCCAAAAAUAACCCUAGGUACGACCGUAGGAUUUAAUUUCUAGAUUGCAGUAAUAAUUAGAAAGGCCCAAUCCUAACCAAUAAACACGCUACGAGGGUUUAUUUAAGCUAGAUCGUAUGCUCCCCUGACAUAAACCCAAUUAUGCCAGUUGCUACAAAGACAGAGAUAGCGAACAAUUACGGAUUCAGUUACCUCUAUUUAGCAAAAUAGCCUAUAUGAAUAAUUAAAUAUUGCGCAUCUAUUCAAUCACUCACAUGAGCUAUAGCGGUUAAAAGCAGGAAACAUAUGAAUACCAAUAAAUGCAGGAAAUAAUUAAAAGCGGUUUAGAUCUCACAGUAGUGGUUAACCCAUUCGUCAGUUGUCCCCUUGACUAGAUGGAGGAUUUAGCCACGCCGCAUAAUUAAAUCACCACACGAAUUAAUAGAUUGCAAAAGCAUUGCGUUUCCUAUUAAGAAGCAGGGAAUAAAAGGUGUUUUUCCCGUUGGGGAAUAUUGUCGAACACCUGGCGUGUGUCAGAGGCCAGUCGGGAGAAAAGAGAAAAGAGACUAAAAACUAGGCUAAAAACUAAACUAAAAACUAGCGAUCUUUUUUUUUCUUGUACGUUCCCUCCUUAAGAGACAAAAGAAAGAUAGACUAAAGCUAUCUAGGUGGUCCCCACACAUGUGGACAAAACCUCCUCAAGUACUUCCUCUUCCAAGUCUACUUCCGUAGCUCUCUUUGGAGAGCCCACAUGACUUAUGGCUUUGCGGUCCCCACCAAUCCAAAGGCCCAAGGAUUGAAGUCCUUAGAAGUCUCCAUAUUCUUCAUAAAGUCCCUCUUUUUUUGGUAGUUUGCUGCUUCCUCCUGAAAUUAAGUCCAUAUACCAAAUAUGAGUAGAUAUCAGCAAUUAACACAAUAUUUAUCAGGGAUAAAAGGGGAAAUUAAUAAUAAAAUGACUAACAAAUUACACCCUAUCAAUUCCCCCCACACCUGAAUCAUGCUUGCCCUCAAGCAUAAUUAACUCAGAAGUACGAUCAAGAUGCUAAACAAAUCACAGCAGUUCAUACCAAGAAUGGCAUUUCAAGCUCCCCAAUAACCUUAUCAAAAUCAGAAUAUACCAAAUCAACAAUUCUCGCUGUUUAAAGUGCACUCAUUCGCUCCAAAGUGUAUAUGAAAUGUAUAUAAGAUGGCUCUCAAAACAACACAGUAGAAUGACACCACCAUACGCUUUCUCAUAUAUCAUAUCUCCACCACUUACUCAUGAAUUUAAAUGCAGCAAUCAAGGGACUUGCAAGGUUGUAGUGGGGCUAGGGUGAGAAGGUAGGAUUGAAAGGGGUCAAAAGGGUGCAUAAGUGUAAAGAAAGUGCCCAAAAAUUCAUUACAUAGAUUCUUGCACCUUUGAAAUUUAAAGGCAUCUCAACCAUCACACAAGUGAAGUGAAUUAGCACUUGCCACAACCUUCGCCUUUUCUCCUUUUUCAUUCAUCUACUUCCCCUCUUUUCCCUUUUUUUUUUUUUUUUUUUUUUAGACUGCUUUUCUCUUCAAUACUCCCAACCAGCACCCUAAAGGUCAACUUUACUUGCUGGUUUCCUGCACUCUUUUUUUUCCUUCUUUUCACAUCCCCUUUUUUUCUGUUUUCUUUUUUUUUUCUUGUUUUAUUCACAGAUAGGUACGAUGCCCCUCUAGAAAUACUCCAAAAUUCUGUAUAAUGAAAUCAAAGCACUUCUUCACACAAGGUUCGAAAAGAAAGUCUAAAGAGAGGUUUUUCGGCUAGGAGCUGGGGUUUCUAGCAAAGAAUAGGAUGUAAAGCUCAACUUGGCUCCCUAAUGGUAAUAUAAUCCAAGGGUGAGUUUUGAGAAAGUCCAAAACGGCUCAUUCCUAGGUGCCCUAUCAUUUCAGUGCAUUGAAUUCAUUUAAAUGUGAUUUUGACAUGCACAACCGAGCAAGUUCUAGAAUGACAAACCAUGUGCACUAACCACUCAACAAAACGAAAAAUUAGGCCCAAAAAUCGCACCAGUGAUCAAAUGGAUGUCCAGUUCGGCAUAUUAAUCAAUCAAUUCAGUAUCAAGGAAAGUAGAACACCCCAUGGCAUGAACUUACUAUGUACGCUUAUAUCCCAAUUCGCAUUCAUCAUCGUUCAAAGAAAAGACAACUAUUAAGGCAAGGAAAAACUCAAGCAGACAACUAAAAACACCUCUAAAGCAUAGUUAACCCUCCCCCACACCUAAACCUGACAUUGCCCUCAAUGUAAGCAAAGUAAAACCAAAUUAGAGGUAUUGGGGCAACAACACUUCCCUUAAAACGGAGGAGGGCAGAAAUGAAUCACGGCUGCGGAGGAAAAGGCGGGCGGAAGCCCACGUGAUGGAGAUACUGCGCUAUAUUCUGGGCGACCCCGCCCAUUUGCCGCUCCAUCCGAUCCAUACGAGUGUCCAUGUGCUGCAUCUGGAACCGGAGGGCUGCAAGCUGGCUAUCGACGGAGGAAGAUGGUGGAGGUGCCGAAGAAGAUGGCCCGGGGGCAUCCGUGGACGGACCACCAGCCCCAGUCGCAGUGGAUUUGGAAGCUUUGCGCCUCGGGGGAACGGAGAUUGGCCCCGGGGGAGCAAACUGGAAAGCGCCAUUCACCUGUCUCACAAGACCCAUUUUCUCCAAACAAACCAAAUCAAGGGGCACCAUAAUACAAGCACGAUGCAAGUUAUGAUUAUUCAAGUCCAAAACCCCAAGGUUUACAGCUAACUGAGUAAUAAAGGAGCCUAAGAUUAAUGGCUUAUUUUUCUUACUUAGCACAGUUCGGAGGUGGAGGGCGAACCAGCUACCCAAAUUGACCCUAGUCCGAGUGACCAUGCACCAUACGAAAAAGAACUCGGGCUUAGUCAGAGUACCCGAGCUAUCCUUCCUACCUGAGAAACUAUAGGCCAUGAAUCUAUGUAACUAGCGGUAGGCGGCACUCUUAAGAUAAGAAGCCUUAGACUGACUGGGGUCAUAGCAUUGCUGGUCAACUGACAAGCCACUCCAAUAAUCAAGGUAAUGAGAGAAAAAUGGCUCUAUAUACUCGCACGCACUGUGCAUAUACUCCUCACUCUGGGAGUAAGGAAUAUCAAUAAACCCAAGAGCCAAAUUAAACUCAGUGAUAGAUUGGUUGAACUCUCUACCCAUUAAUCGAUACCUCACAACCCCAGGAGUGGUAACGGAGAAUUGCUCAGGAAUAUUAAAUUCAAAGGUAGCAUAGAAUUCCCACGUGAGUUCAGUAAAAGCAGGUUGAUUUAUAGAAGCAUAGUGGGCCCAACCUACAUUAGUCAAGUGCUGUGCGACCUCAUCCCUCAGGUUUAGCAAAUCUAGUGUAGGGCCAUGGAGGUAUUUACAAGGAAUUAUCUUCCUUGUGCAAGCCGAAGCAUACCGCUCCUUGUCGGCAGCCCGGGUGAAGGUUAAAUGACCGCCAAAAUGGGCCGGAGAGGAGAUAUGAAUCUCCCUAUUCCGUCCAAGGCGGGUACGAGGCCCUCCAGGCCCAGUCGAUGGGGCAGGUCCCUCUAAGGGGACCGUAGGCUGAGGAGAUGAAGUGGAAGGCUUAUUCUUACUUUUGGUUUUCGGUUUAGUCAUUGGGGAUUGGAAAAAAAAAGCAAAGUCAAGGUGAAGUCGGAUAAAACGGAGCGGUAGUUAAUGAACAAAGCAAAGGGUCCCCAAACACAGCUCCAAACACCAACAAGUGAACAAAUAGCAACCAAAUAGCCCAAAAAUCAAUUAAGUAGAUAAACAAUAAAAAUUGCACCCAAAAACUAAUUAAAUACUGAAACUACGAAAACUCCCCAAAUUCUACCAAACAACCUCAAAAAUUCCUUAAUUAAACAACCGCAGCAAAAUUUCCCCAAAAACUAUUAAAUAAACAACCAGAGUGAAAACUUUCCGCCAAUAUCUCUGAUUGAGCACCAAACUUCACAAAUAGACCACAAUCAACCACAGAUAUAUCACAGCACCCCAAAUAACACACAGUUUCUGUUCUCAGCUAACAAAUCAAAAAUCUGGCCUCAGCUAAGAAAUUAAAAUCUGACAUCAGCUAAGAAAGCUAGUAAUCUGGCCUCAGCUACUUAGGGACAGAAAAUUAAAGAAAGAAUUUACCAGGAGGGAUAGCCGGUAGUUGCUAAGGUUGGAAACGAAACAAAAAAUCUUUCCGAUCUUGGGCUGAAAACCUUCGAUGCGGAUUUGUCGGUUGCACCCCUGGUCGCGCGCGCGGACUGCAGCCUGCGACUGGCGGUGCUGGUUGCGGCUGACACUGAAGAGGCUGCGCGCGAUGGUCGCCCGAGGCGGAUGCUGUGCGGAGUGGCGCACGACUGGUGCUGAGGUUGCAGAGGAAGCUGCGCGCAGAGGAGCUGCUGGGCUGCGCGCGCGGUCUGGGCUCACGGCCUGCGGUCCGCGACUGCGGCUGGAUCUCGCGCUGGGGCUGCAGCGCUGGGCGGCGCCGCGCGCAGGGAGCGCGCUUGGGCUGCUGGGGUGGAUCUGGUGCGACGCGCAGGGAGCGUCGCGCGGAGGAGGUGCAGCGCAGAGAGGCUCGCGGCUGGGCUGGGCGGCGCGCAGAGGAGGCUGCGCGAUCCGGCGGCGUGCGGUUGGGCUAGGCGGCGCAGAGGAGCGGCGGCGGACCAAGCAAGAAGAGGAAAAGAAGAAAAGAAAGAAAAGGAAGAAGAAAGAAAGAAAAAAGAAGAAAGGAAGAAGGGCUACGGAGGUUUUUUUUUUUUUUUUUUUUAAUAAUAAUAAGGGCAAUUUCGUCUUUUUCUCCCUUUUUUUUUUUUUUUUUUUACGUGGCCACCUAGCGUGGGCACGUUCAACUGCCCUAGAGUCCGCAGAACCUGAUCGAAAAUUUCCUCCGUCAGGCGCGACCACCUGGCGUGGGCACGUCUAACUGCUAUGUAGUCCGCAGAUCCUGAACGAAAAUUUCCUCCGUCAGGCGUGACCAUCUGGCGUGGGCACGUCUAACUACUAUGGAGUUCGCAGAACCUGAGCGAAAAUUUCCCCCCGUCAGGCGUGACCAUCUGGCGUGGGCACGUCUAACCAUUAAUCUCCUGCCACAAAACAUCAAACCAUCAAUUGACACUAACACUUAACUAAAAUUUCAAAAUUGCAUGAAAACUAAAACAAAUAGUCUUGGGUUGCCUCCCAAGUAGCGCCUUUCUUUACUGUCUUUGGCUAGACAUGGCCAAAACCCCUAAGCAUGAUGAAGUGGAACUUGGAGGUGUUCAACUUCUACUUCUUCAACAUAGAAACCCUCAUAAUAAGGCUUGAGACGAUGGCCAUUCACCACGAACUUUUUCUCGGUUUUUAAACUUUGGAUCUCCACUGCACCAUAAUGAAACACAUUAGAAACGACAAAUGGACCAAUCCAACGAGAACGCAACUUACCGGGAAAAAGUUUAAGCCUUGAGUGGUACAAGAGAACUUUUUGCCCCACUACAAAAGUUUUCCUAGAAACCUGCUGAUCGUGAAAGAUUUUACUCUUCUCCUUAUAGAUCGUGGCAUUUUCAUACGCCUCAUUUCGUAUUUCUUCUAACUCUUGUAGCUGCAAUUUCCUUUGGGCCCCUGCUUCAUCUAAUCCCAUAUUACACUGCUUCACCGCCCAAAACGCCUUGUGUUCGAACUCCACGGGGAGAUGGCAAGCCUUACCGAAAACAAGUCUAUAAGGAGACAUCCCAAUUGGCGUCUUAUACGCAGUUCUAUAAGCCCAUAGUGCGUCUUCUAGCUUCAAGCUCCAAUCCUUCCUGUCCGGACGCACCAUCUUCUCCAAAAUCGACUUGAUUUCCCUGUUUGACACUUCGGCCUGACCGUUCGCCUGCGGGUGAUACGGUGUGGAUACCUUGUGCAGUACACCGUAUUUUCGAAACAAGGCAGUGAUAGUCUUGUUGCAGAAAUGUGUCCCUCUAUCACUAACCACAGCUCUUGGCAUUCCAAAACGGGUAAAGAUAUUAGAUUUUAAGAAAUCUGCAACCACUCUAGAAUCAUUAGUACGGGUGACUUUUGCCUCCACCCAUUUAGACACAUAAUCCACAGCAAGUAAAAUGUAUAGGAAACCAAAAGAUGAGGGAAAAGGACCCAUAAAAUCUAUCCCCCAAACAUCAAAAAUUUCAACAAACAACACGGGGGUUUGAAGCAUUUGGUCCUUACGAAAAAUAUUCCCCACCCUUUGACACCUAUCACAGGAUUUACAGAAUAAAUAAGCAUCUUUGAACAGAGUAGGCCAGUAAAAACCACUCUCCAACACCUUGCGAGCUGUUCGUUUGGGCCCAAAAUGCCCUCCACAUGCAAACGAAUGACAAAAAUUCAAAAUGGAGUGAAAUUCACCUGCACUUACACACCUUCUGAGCACUUGAUCCGAACACUGUCUCCAAAGGUACGGGUCGUCCCAAAUGUAAUACUUGGCGUCGCUCUUUAACUUGUCCCUCUUAGCCUUUGGCCACCCUGCAGGCAAUUGAUUAGUCACUAGAAAGUUUACCAAAUCGGCAUACCAGGGAGUAGACGAGUCAAUGGCCAAUAGUUGCUCCUCUGGGAACGCCUCCCUCAAUGGCGGCUCCUCCUUAUGAGCAAGUAAGCGGCUCAAGUGAUCAGCAACUAAAUUUUCUGCCCCACUCUUAUCCUUAAUUUCCAAGUUGAACUCCUGAAGGAGCAGGAUCCAUCUGAUGAGCCUUGGUUUAGCAUCCUUCUUCGUCAUCAAGUACCUCAAGGCUGCAUGAUCAGAGAAAACUGUUAUUUUUGCACCUAACAAAUAAGGUCUAAAUUUUUCUAAUGCAAAAACCACAGCUAGCAAUUCUUUUUCUGUUGUAGAGUAGUUGAGUUGGGCUCCGUUUAACGCCUUCGAUGCAUAGUAAAUUGCAUGAGCAGCUCUGCCAAUCCGUUGCCCCAGCACCGCUCCCACUGCAUAAUCACUCGCGUCACACAUUAUCUCAAAUGGGAGGUUCCAGUCUGGAGGUUGGAUAACCGGUGGUGACGUCAAUGAGUCCCUCAACCUGUCAAAUGCCACUUUGCACUCUUCGGUGAAGUCGAAUGCCACGUCCUUCUGCAAUAGCUUGAACAGGGCCGCUCCAAUUUUCGAGAAAUCUUUGAUAAAUCUCCUGUAGAAACCUGCAUGACCCAAAAAGGAGCGCACCUCCCGCACACUUGCGGGGUAAGGCAGAGCAGAAAUAAUAUCGACUUUUGCCUUGUCCACUUCUAUACCCCUGGCCGAAACUACAUGCCCUAAAACAAUACCAUGAUCCACCAUGAAAUGACAUUUUUCCCAAUUCAAAACCAAAUUUGUCUCAAUGCAUCUUUUCAAAAUUAAACCUAAAUUAUCAAGGCAUUCAUCAAAGCUAUCCCCAUACACACUAAAAUCAUCCAUAAACACCUCAAUAAUCUUUUCUACAUACUCAGAGAAUAUACUUACCAUACACCUCUGAAAAGUUGCUGGGGCGUUGCAGAGGCCGAAAGGCAUCCUCCGAUAUGCAAAUGUACCGAAGGGGCAGGUGAAGGUAGUUUUCUCCUGAUCCUCUGGUGCUAUUGCAAUCUGAAAAUAACCAGAGAAACCAUCAAGAAAACAAUAAUAGACACGGCCAGCUAACCUUUCUAUCAUCUGAUCAAUAAAAGGCAGAGGGAAGUGGUCCUUCUUCGUCACAGCAUUCAGACGCCGAUAGUCAAUGCACUGGCGCCAUCCUGUGGGUUUCCUCACCGGGAUCAUCUCACCCUCUAGGUUCUCUUCAACUGUUACCCCCGCCUUUUUCGGGACUACUUGCACCGGGCUCACCCAGGGGCUAUCUGAGAUGGCGAAGAUGAUCCCCACUUCUAGGAGUUUUAGUAUCUCCUUCUUGACCACUUCCAUCAUUAGUGGGUUCAAUCUCCGUUGCCCUUGUCUAACUGGCUUCGCAUCAUCCUCAAGCCGGAUCCGAUGCAUGCAUAAGGAGGGGCUAAUUCCCUUGAUAUCUGCUACACUCCACCCAAUUGCCUCCUUAUGAUCUCGGAGAAGACGAAGUAGUCUAUCUUCUUGCCCUGGGGACAGGUGUGCAGAUAUGAUGACUGGCAGUGUCUCAUUGUCCCCGAGAAAAGCAUACUUCAAAUGCUUUGGGAGAGGUUUGAGCUCCAACUCAGGCGCCUGCACAAUAGAAGGCAACAAUUUUGCCUGAGUUUUUGGUACAAAAACAGAAGUAAGCUCAUACCUUGGGGAAAUUGGUGGGAGCGAAUGUAGUGCUCCAACAGCGUGGUAUAGCUCAUCAUUUAUUUCUACAUCAAGAGUUGCUCCCAACUCAAGAUGUUUGGCCAAUGCCACUGCCAGUGCAUCAACCCCAUCCAAUUCAAAUAUUUCCUGUACAAGGGGCUCAACAACACUUAAAGCAUAAAUAGAGUUAGUCUCAUCUGGGUACUUCAUCGCCUCAAAAAUAUUAAAAUUUACAAUUUCCCCAUCAAACUCCAUCGACAAGGUACCCUCAUUAACAUCUAUUUUCGUCCUAGCAGUGCUUCAAAAUGGCCUACCUAACAGAAUAGGAGACGGAUUUAGUGCCCUUUCAUCCCCCAUGUCUAGGACAUAGAAAUCUGCAGGAAAAACUAACUCAUUGACCUGUACCAAAACAUCUUCAACUAACCCUUCCGGGUAAGCAUUGGUACGGUCUGCAAGUUGAAUUAUGAUGCCUGUGCCUUUUAACGGGCCAAGAUUUAGAGAUGCAUAAAUUGUCUUAGGCAUAACAUUAAUUGACGCCCCCAAAUCCAACAUUGCUUUCCUAAUUGGAGUACCUCCUAUCUUGCAGGGAAUGGUAAACAUACCUGGGUCUCCACAUUUUGGUGGGAGCUUCCUCUGGAGUAUAGCUGACACGUUUUCUCCCACCGCCACUCGUUCAUCUCCCCUUAGCUUCCUCUUGUGGGUGCACAGGUCCUUCAGAAAUUUGGCAUAUUUCGGUAUUUGCUUGAUUGCAUCCAGUAGGGGGAUGUUAAUCUCUACUUUCCUGAAUACAUCCAAAAGUUCCUUUUCCUUCUCUACUUUCCUUGUCUUUUCCAACCUGCAAGGAAAAGGGGGUAAGUUAGAGCUAAUAGUGAGUGGAGAGGUGGGGGUUACCUUAGGAUCUUCACGAAUACGUCCUUCCUCCUCAAUUUCCUUUUCUAUCUCCUCCUCGCUUUUGCUUUUUGGAUUCUUCACUUUAGGUCCUUCCAGCUCCUUGCCACUCCUCAGCGUCAUGGCACUUACAUUCCUGGGAUUUAUCUCGGGUUGCGAUGGCAGUUUCCCAUAAACGUGAGAUUCCAAGCGGUUGAUGGCAGUUGCCAGUUGACUUAUUCGAACAUCUUGGUCCUUCUUGUCAGCCUUGGUGUCCUGCUGGAGCUGCUCGGUUUUCGCGGCCAAGGAUCUGAUCUCCUGUUGAAGCUGUGUAGUAGUUGCGACCAGGUUGUUAGUAGUCGUGGCCAGGUUGUUAGUAGUCGUGGCCAGGUUCUUGACUAGGUCCUCCAAGGAGCUUCCUGUAUUGGAGGAUGAGGUUUGAGGUUUUGGUUGCCAAGGCUGGUAGAAUCCUGGUGGACGAUUCGGGAAUGAACCUUGUUGCCUGUUCCCAUAACUGAGAUUAGGAUGGUCUCUCCAACCGGGGUUGUAUGUGUUGGAAUACGGGUCAUACUCCCCGGCAACGGCGCCAAAAAUUGACAGGUGCCGAACCUGUGCAAUAAUAAUAAAUAAAUCCUAACUACCACCUGAAACAGUCAGUAAUCAAUUCGAGUACUGGAGCAGGGACUCUAGGUGUGCAAUGGGUUACUUGAUUCACCCUGUUCCCGAAGAGUUUGCUUAAUCCGAUAUAGCUGAAUUAAUUAUUUAACUGGAUUCCCUAACUAGUAGACAGUGAUAAGCAGGGUCGUCUCCUCAGGGACUGGAGAGAUAUUUGUUUCUUUUCAAAUCAAGAUUAAUGGGGGGGUUUUGGUAUCAAAGGCCAACUAAACAAAAUAAAUGUAGAAAGUAAUUGAUUAAAAACAAUAAUUGGAGAAGCUCUAGCCAAGGGUACACUUUAGGAAUGGUUCACGCAACUGAUCAUCGAUUCACAGAUAAUUCCAACUUUUAUUAAUAGAUUGGUUAUAGCUGUCUCGCACGCGCUAAACAACCAACCCUUCCUUAAUUUCUCGAUAGCCAAGGUACGACCGUUAGCUAUUUCUCUAACCCAAAAAUAACCCUAGGUACGACCGUAGGAUUUAAUUUCUAGAUUGCAGUAAUAAUUAGAAAGGCCCAAUCCUAACCAAUAAACACGCUACGAGGGUUUAUUUAAGCUAGAUCGUAUGCUCCCCUGACAUAAACCCAAUUAUGCCAGUUGCUACAAAGACAGAGAUAGCGAACAAUUACGGAUUCAGUUACCUCUAUUUAGCAAAAUAGCCUAUAUGAAUAAUUAAAUAUUGCGCAUCUAUUCAAUCACUCACAUGAGCUAUAGCGGUUAAAAGCAGGAAACAUAUGAAUACCAAUAAAUGCAGGAAAUAAUUAAAAGCGGUUUAGAUCUCACAGUAGUGGUGAACCCAUUCGUCAGUUGUCCCCUUGACUAGAUGGAGGAUUUAGCCACGCCACAUAAUUAAAUCACCACACGAAUUAAUAGAUUGCAAAAGCAUUGCGUUUCCUAUUAAGAAGCAGGGAAUAAAAGGUGUUUUUCCCGUUGGGGAAUAUUGUCGAACACCUGGCGUGUGUCAGAGGCCAGUCGGGAGAAAAGAGAAAAGAGACUAAAAACUAGGCUAAAAACUAAACUAAAAACUAGCGAUCCUUUUUUUUCUUGUACGUUCCCUCCUUAAGAGAUAAAAGAAAGAUAGACUAAAGCUAUCUAGGUGGUCCCCACACAUGUGGACAAAACCUCCUCAAGUACUUCCUCUUCCAAGUCUACUUCCGUAGCUCUCUUUGGAGAGCCCACAUGACUUAUGGCUUUGCGGUCCCCACCAAUCCAAAGGCCCAAGGAUUGAAGUCCUUAGAAGUCUCCAUAUUCUUCAUAAAGUCCCUCUUUUUUUGGUAGUUUGCUGCUUCCUCCUGAAAUUAAGUCCAUAUACCAAAUAUGAGUAGAUAUCAGCAAUUAACACAAUAUUUAUCAGGGAUAAAAGGGGAAAUUAAUAAUAAAAUGACUAACAAAUUACACCCUAUCAAUCUCUUACUUCAGCAAGCAUACCAAGAUCUGUCUAUCAGACUGGUCUGUCUGUGUAAACGAGAAAUUCUUCUAAUGGAGUAGCAUCUAUGCAAGAGACACCCCGAGAGGCACUUUCCAUUUCAAACAAUUUCACGGCCAAGAUUAGAUUGCAGUAAUGGCCGCGACAUGGUUUUUAGUUGGGGCCCACAAAGCGGUGCCGUUCCGUGUCGGACAAAGAAAAGUGAAAAUUAAGGACUAAUAACAUGCCCGCAUCUGGAGGACACAUCGUUGUGAGAGGAAAAAUUUAACAGGUUGGGAUUUUGGAUCCUUCCGCUUACAGUAUUAAAAAAAAAACUCUAUAAAAUUUUUAAUGAAACCCAACAUAGAGAAAUAAGGUCCCAACUUCUUCAAAAUUUUGGAAAGUGAAAAUAUUUGCGGUCCUACCAAUUCUAGAUUUAUUGAAGUUUUGCUCGUUAGUUUUGUUUCUUUUUUUUUAUUAUUUUUUUAAUGUAACUAGGAGACUCGAACCGAAAACCUUUCCCUCAGACUCUCUCAUCUGGAACCAUCCAAUCCAAUUCUCCUCCUCCGAACAACUGUUGUGCAUGUUGGUUGAUAAUUUGAAAAAAAAAAAAAAAAGAUUUCCUCAUAUCAUGAAAGUAUCAAGUAUGUCCUCGGAUUUUUAGAAUAUUCAUAGAUAUUGGAAACUUUUUUGUCUUUGUUUGUUGUAAUUACAAGGGGAUACAAAAGGCAUUUGCUUGUUUCCAUACUUGUGAAGAAAUUCUCAAUAUCUAACGACCACUGUGAGAAGAAAAUUAGAAAAAAAAUCCUGACUCUCUAAUUAUCCAAAUUGAAUGGUAGAUUAGGGCUAUUAUAAUUUCUUAAUUGGCAAAUAAAACUUUUGAUUUGAAUUAGUCUUGUUGAAGAACAAUAUAGAAAUCUUCAUGGCAGUGUUGUGUGUAAGAGUAUGUAAAAACACUGUAAGUAUAUUUGAUUUUUGAAUAAUUGCAAAACAAUGGAUGGCUGAGUUGUUAUGAGUUAGCCGAUUGAAAACAUUUUGAUCAAAUUAGUUGAUGCUGUUUUUACACCCAAGUGUUAAAGGCAUUAAAACCAAUUUGCAGAUAUUUACACCAGUAGUUAUUAAUUUAACACUUUUAAGUCCUGCCCAAUCCUACUACCUUACAACCAUUUGUUGGACAUUGAGCCUUUUUUUUUUUUUUUUUGGGACAUUGGUUACCAUACGGGCCUUGUGCAUAUCCUAACAAGCUUAUAAAUAUCAUUCAUGAUGCUGAUCCUUGACUUUGUCCCCAUAGGCAAGAGUCAGGUGGAAUUCCAUGUAGGUUUUGAUAAUACAAGAUUAACGAGGGUGAUAAUUGUUUUUGCAAUACAGGGGAUGAACGGCAUUGGGAAGCAGACAAUGGAUAUUCAAUGAACUUUUUUUUAUUUGAAUGAUGUAAAUUGUGAAACAUAAGACACCCAUUUGGUGUAAACCAGUUGUGCAGAUCCAACAACAUUUGGUAUAAACUCGUAUAAUUUCAGUGAGAUUAUGAUUUUUACACAAAUCUAGUUGUAUAAAUCACAAGCUCAAGUUUUACACAAAGUUGUAUGAAUUUAUACGAAAUGCAAUAAUAAUUACACAACUAAUUUGAAUUGGAUAACAACUCAAUUUGUAAAGCCCCGAAUCCUAUUUACCAGUACAAGGAUAUGGUUCUAUUGGUUAACGUUAAAUUGUAAGUUGUUGACAUUCAAAAGAUGAACUAGGUGGUGGCACUAGAGCAAUCUAGAUGAUGUAUAUUAGAUGAAUUUUUUUGUUACACCUUGCAAGUUUAAAACCCAAAAGAUGUGCAAUCUGAACUAAAUUGUCUCGAAGAGAAGAUUGGCAAACUAAACCUACUAGAAAAAAAAAAGAAGGAAUUAUUCUAAUGGAUAUAAAAUAGAUACUCGUUAAUACAGUUAAAUUGCAUUCAAUCUACCAUAUCAAUGUAUAUAUUAACAAUUAUUAUCUUCUCUUAGAGUUUGACACUUUCCCUGAUUAACAUUACUUUAACUAUUAUUAUCCUCCCUUAUAGUUAUAUACUUUUCCUAAUUAACUUUACUUUUCUAAAAAUUUAACGCCUAAAAUACAUAUUAAUUAGUGCCUUGUUAGACUGACUCAAAAAGAAAUAUUACGGCCAAGCAAGAGGACCAAACUUGGAGUACAGAAGUAUGAUUUAAUACCAAAAUGGACAAAAAAUUAACUGGAUCACAACUAAACCACCUAAAAAAAGUGUUUUCGUUUUUGUAACUCCUCCAUUAUCUGUAGAGUGACUAGGGAAAAGUAUCAUAAAACGGGUGCUAGGUAGGCUUCGAAUCCUCUGUCUCCAAAGUAAUCUCUGUCCCCGAAGUAGGUAUCUAUACAAUAAUUAACGGAGAAAAGUGGCAGUUGUGGUAAACAUUUUGCAUCAUUUUUGAAACUUUCAAUUUUGCCUUUGAAAAUUAAUUUUUACUCUAACCACCUAAUCACAUUUGCUAAUAUAAUCUCUCAUAACUCUGGUUCAUAACAGUAAAUUAUUUUUUUUUUUAGUAUAACUGGGAGAUCUCAAAACGUUCCAUUUUAUCAUCAAAUUGUUUGAAAACCUUGAUAUUUUUCAGCCAGUCAUAUGUCCUCAACUAUUAAAAGAGAUAUCAUCUUACAGACGAAUCAGUAAAGAAUGAGUUUCUGAAACGUUAUUGUCUUGACAAGUUCAUGGCAGAGUUCAACAUAAUGCACAAUCAAACUGAUGAUCUCAUAUAUGAACUACUAAUAAGGACUUUGGUAUCCCCAGUUGCUUCAGCAAUUCUUUAUGCAGACUCUUCUACAGUUUGUCUGCACCAGUGCGCUUCAAUCACUUCCAGUGUACCUAUGUCUGCAAAAUCAUAGGGAAUUUCCUCGAGGUCUUUGCAACUUUGCAAGACAAGCCGUUCAAGUUUGGGAAGGUGAUCACAAGUCGCAUUCCACUGAGAAACGUUCAGAUUGUCUAAUUUCAAGAAUUUGAUUUCCUUGAACUGUUCUUCCUCCAUGUCCCAUGUCAGCCCUUCAAAGGCACCGAGAAGCAAUUUGAGAACUCCCAGGUUGGGCAGUCUCCCAAUAGUUGAGAUAUGACUCUGACAGGGUGUCGAAGCCUGUGCAAUAAUAAAACCUGCUCAAACUAAAAGUAAUUUCUGUAGAUAGUGGUGAGCAGGGUCGAAUCCACAGGAACUGGAAGUAAUUGUUCCUUUUCAAAUUCACAGUGACAAGGGAGUGUUUUUAUUUCAGGAGUGACAAUUUAAGCAAUUCAACUAAAAGUAAAAUAAUAAAAAUAAAAUAGCCAACUAGAAAUUAAAUAACAAUUUACUAAAAUCAAAUGAGUGAUAAUUAAGGGUCUAGCCAAGAAAUAACUUCAGCAAUGGUGCACCUAAUUGAUCAUUGAAACAAAGGCAAUCCCAAUUAUUUGCUAAUAAAUAGGUUAUAACUGCCAAACAAGCGAUGGCAGUCAACCCCUCCUUACUGUGUCGGUGAUCAAGGUACGCCCGUUAAUCACUUCUCUAAUUGAAAAACAAUCCUAGGUACGCCCAUAGAAUUUAAUUCCCCAAUUGCCUUACGUAUUAGAGGAGCUCUAUUCUAACCAAAAACGCACUACCAGAGUUAUUUUAGAUUAGCCCGCAUAUCCCCCUGAUACAAACCCAAUCAUGCCAGUUGUCACUAUUUUGUGACAAUUAAACAAUUACGGAUUUAACGUCCCAAUUGACAAUAGAUUAUCAAAUUAACUAAUUAUCCGGAUCCAAGACAAUCAAUCAAUUAAACAAUCAUAAGCACUGUAACCAGGGAAUAUGCGAAUACCAAUAAAUAAAAAGAAAAGAUAAAAUUGAAUCGAUCUCACAAUUUUAGGUGACUCAGAGCCUUCGUUGCUCCUUGACUAGAAAAAGGGAUUUAAGUCAUCCCUGACACAAGGGACCCACGCACAAAUUCAGAAAUAAUUGCGGCCAUGGUCCCCGAUUUUGAGAGCUCGGUUCGAAUCAUGAAAUGAAAAGCUAACUACAAAAGUGAUUGUCCCUACAAAAGCUAAACUACAAAAGCUAAAUUCAUUGCCCCUGACAUCCGCGCAGGGAGCCACUACUCAAAGACGCAAAAACGGAAAAGUCAAACGGAAAGCUAAGCUAAAGGUCCUCAUUACUCAGAAGGAAAACUACUACAGAAAAGCCAAAAAACUAGUGCUAGUCCUCUCUUCGAUGUGCGGCGGCUCCCCCAGGGGGAAGAAGACGCAGAGGAAGAAGAAGCACCCCUUUUUUCCUGCACAAUUUUCCUAUAUAAAGUAGUGCUCCUUGCGGCGGCUCCUGUGCGGAAAAAUGAAGAUUUCGGCCCAAUUUGCCCAACAAGGGCUCAUGUUUUGUUGUUCCAAAAAUGUCCUUAGGACAAGCUCUAUCAUCUGGACUCUUUUCCUGCCAAAUUAACACCUGUUAUUAUAUUUUCGUUCUAUUCCCUGAAAUAAAUGCAAAAUACUAAAAGUGAGUAGAAUCCCGCAAUUAAUCCACAUCAAGUCAGGUAAUAGGAGGAAUUAAUAAUGAAAUAAAUGAUAAAAUUGCAACCUAUCAGACUCCAGGAUAGACGAAAGUUUGAAAGAGUCAAUUUCCUCAGAUUGGAAGGCAGAAUGAAUUCCCUGGUAAUAGCGCUUCCAUAGUAAAAUACAUUGAGCGACACCAAAUGAGUUAGAAAAUCUAAUCUUGGAAACUGAUAGGAAAUCUUCGAAGAACCCUGUGGAUGAAAGAAUAUGCAUCUCAGUUUCUGAAGAUUUGGCAACCUCUUUAUUAUUGAUUCUACAUCUUCACCACAAGAGAGAGAGAGACGGGAAAAGCUGACCAAAUUUCCCAACUGAGAGCAGCCUUCGAGCCCUUCAUCAUCCAAUGUGAAAGCAACAUGCAUAUUCACAUGAAGAUGCCUCAACCUUGUCAUGUGCCAAAUAGUAUCUGGUAAGACAUUUGCCAAAUAGUACAAGGGGACACAAAAGGCAUUUGCUUUUUUCCAUACAUGUGAAGAAAUUCUCGAUAUUUAAUGACUGCUAUAAGAAGAAAAUUAGCAAAAAUCCUAAUGAUCCAAAUCGAAUGGUAGAUUAGGGCUAUUAUAAUCUCUUAAUUGGCACUGUUUGAAUUGGUCUUGCUAAAGAAGAAUUUAUGUAAUAGUACAUAAAAACAUUGCAAAGAAACUUGUCCCUUCUGAUUAUUUAGCUGCUGUAGAUAUAUUUGAUUUUUCAAUAAUUACAGAAGAAUGCGUGGUUGAAUUGUUAUGAGUUAGCCCAGUGAAAACAUUUUGAUCGUGAUGUGAAUUGCUUUCAGAUACAAAACUUUGGAAGAAACUUGUUUAUUGCUAAUUCGAUUUUGGUUAGCUUAUAAGUAGUUGUUGGGAAUUCACACUACUGAUUAUUAUUUAUACAUUUAAGGGUCAAUUCAAUAUUUGAUAUCUUUAGCUUACAACAAAAUGGGGGAGAUUUACAUUGUUGAUUACUAUUAUUACAAGUUGUAAGCCAGUAUUACACUAGUUGGUUUACAAGCAAUUCUUGGACAUUCAAAUUAGUAGCUGCUGUUUUUACACCCAAGGGAUAAAAGUAUUAUUGUAGUUUGUUUAAAACCAAUUUGUGGAUAUUUACACCAGUAGUUACUACUUUAAGUGCUGGCUAAUCUUGUUACUCUACAACCAUUUGUUGGACAGUGGACAUUGGUUAAUAAAUCCGCCUUAUGCAUAUGCAAACAAACUUAUUAAAGAUACACUUGCAAGCUAGAGUUGGCUUGAUAUUAUGAAGGCAUGCUCAAGGAUUCUUAAUUAGGUUCGAAAAUUUUGCAUUAAAUUGGGUUAAAUAUAAGAAAACCUUUUAUCGUUUGUUGAAUGUUUAACUUUAACUCCUUAAGAUUCAGAAACCUACAUUCUAACUCCUUAUGAUUUUAACUAAAUUGAAAGUUGGAUAGAAACUAUCUAAACUAAUGGUUGCAUCUAAGAUGUCAAAAUUGUCCUUUAUAAAUAAUAAGAUUUAAUACAAAGAUCUAAUAAUGAUUUUCUUUGCUGGAAGAAUGUAGUUGCUAAAGGAAUCAAUAAGAUUGUUUACCACAAGGGGUAGGAAUGUAGUUUUCGAAUCAUAAAGAGUUAAGAAUAUACAUUAAAGGACUUAUUGAAAUUAUUUAUCAGGAAGAGUUAGAAUGUAAGUUUUUGAAGUUGUUAAAGGAUUAAUUGAGAUUGAUUACUACGAAAGGCAAGCAUAUAGGUUUCUGAAGCAUAGAGAUUUAAGAAUAUAGAUAGUACUGUACCCUUCCAUUGAUAUGCAGGUAUGACAAGUAGUUUUAGGUUAAGCAUUUUGUUUGUUUAGCAAUCUAUUUUUCAAUUGUAUUGUUGAGUACUUCAUUCACAUACAUAAUUUGAGCAUUUGCACUCUUUUUAGGUGUGUAAUUACCAUUUUUUAGAUGGCUUGAAAAGGCCUGAAUGUUUGUCACUCUUUGUUAUUCAUUAAUAUAUGUGAAAAUGAAAGUCCAUAAAUUGUUAGAGUCUAAUUUUUUUAAUGCUAGAAAUUAUUUGACUAGUUGAGAUUGCUAAGUAAUCCUUGUAACAAGUUUAGUGCACUAAAUUACUUACAAUCUCAGAAGAUAUGUUACCUACAACUGUAGAUUUUCUUGUUAGAUGUUGUCUUUGUUUUCUUUUUUGCCUAUCAAACUGUAGUUUGGGAAGCUAUUUCUAUUUGAAAUUCUUGUUAGUAUGCAUUCACAAUAUUUCAUUUGCAACUCUAGAGCAAAUUUGGAAUUUUUUUUUUAGCUUUAGUUGGAGUGUGAGAUGUUUACAUUAGUUAUUGCUCACGGUCUUAUAAUUGGUAUUCAGCAUCUACAUAUAUUUGCUACGUAUUAUUUAUCUUUUUUAUUUCUUAUUUAUUGUCUUUGAUGUUAUUUUCAAUAAUAAUACAGGACAUUUUUUAUUUUACCUCAUAGCUAUAGAAAUUGUUUACCAUCCACAUUUUUGUAGUUUAUUAAUUAUAGGCUAAAAAAUGUUGUAUAGAGCCUUUCAGUAAAACAAUGUUACUUAUUUUGCUUCCGGAACUCAUUUUAUCACAUAUCAAAGCAAGAGCUAUUUAUUUUUUCACCAAAUCUUAGCAUAAUAAAAAUAUUAACUUGCUUAGUAUAGUUGUGUUAUUUGUUUUGACUCUUGAUAAACAAUGUGUACACUUUUUUCUAUAUUAGUCUGUUCUUAUAAUAAUAAUUCUGCUUGAAAAUAUAAUAUGAUAAAUUAAUUCUGCAUCGCAAAGGAAAAGACAAUUAACUAAUCCUUUUAAAAGAAGAACACUUAACUAAUGGCCAAGGUAAUGUUUUUAGAAUCUUUUUCGUUGCUAAAUUUAGGUUUCGAAUCCCCUGCCUAGCAGUUAGGUGUGGCCUUGUGAUUUCAACUUUUAUGCAGUUGCUUUUGCACUUCUUCUUUGAUUAAAGGAACACCGUUAGUAAUGCUGCAACUACAAUUCUCUAUUGCUUUACUGGAUAGCCUUGGUGAUCGUUAUGCAUCAUAUUAUGGCCUAUUAAGCCAUAAUAUGAAAGAAAGGAUGGUAUACUGAUUAAAAUUAGAAUUAGUAUCAUGUACCGAUUAAUACGAGCACCUUGUUAGAAGUAGGGUUGCACACGAUUCAAGCUACUCGCAAGUCACUCGCGAGAAGUUUGAGUUGAGCUCGGUCAAUAUCGAAAUCGAACUCAAGUUCAAAAAUACUCAAUUCGUUAGCCCGUGAAUCGACUCGAUUUUAUAUAUAUAUAUAUAUAUAUAUAUAAUUUAAUAGUAAAAUUACAUAUAUAUCCCGAAUGCAUUACCAACAAAACCAACUUAAACAACUUGAAUUCACCUUUCCAAAGAUCUCAAGCAAUAAUUGAUAGUUGAGUAUCCAGAUUGAACAUCCAUUGCGUCAAUUAGUUUGAAGUUGAAGAAACACAUCAUCUCACAAAUGAAUCGAGAAAAGAACAAGUUGCUGAAAUUUUAUUAUCUUACAAGUUCGUAGAGUAAUACAACAGAAUCCACAAUCAUGCUCAUCAUCUCGAAUAUGAACUAAUAAUGACUUUGAUGUCCCCAACUGCUUCCCCGAUUCCUUUUGCAGACUCUUCUGCAGAUUGUCCACACCAGUGCACUUCAAUCACUUCCAGUGUACCUAUGUCAGCAAAAUCAUUCGGGAUUUCCCCGAGGUCUUUGCAAUUUUGCAAGACAAGCCGUUCAAGUUUGGGAAGGUGAUCACAAGUAGCAUUCCAUUGACAAAUGUUCAGAUCGUCUAACUUCAAGAAUUUAAGUUCCUUGAACUGUUCUUCCUCCAUUUCCCAUACCAGCCCCUCAAAGGCACCAAGAAGUAACUUGAGGACUUCCAGGUUGGGUAGUCUCCCAAUUGUUGAGAUGUGGCUCCAUGGUAGGUGAAAGUUUGAAAGAGUCAAUUCCCUCAGAUUUGGUGGGAGAACGAAUUCACUGGUGAUGGCUCUCCCAAAGUAAAAUACAUUGAGCGACACCAAAUGAGCAAG